GACGAACGCUGGCGGCGUGCCUAACACAUGCAAGUCGAGCGGAGCCAAUUAACAGAUCCCUUCGGGGUGACGUUGAGGAAGCUUAGCGGCGGACGGGUGAGUAACACGUGAGUAACCUGCCCAUAAGAGAGGGAUAACACAGAGAAAUUUGUGCUAAUACCUCAUAUUGAAUUUUAAUCGCAUGAUUUUAAUUUGAAAGAUUUAUCGCUUAUGGAUGGACUCGCGUCUGAUUAGCUAGUUGGUGAGGUAAUGGCCCACCAAGGCGACGAUCAGUAGCCGAACUGAGAGGUUGAUCGGCCACAUUGGGACUGAGACACGGCCCAGACUCCUACGGGAGGCAGCAGUGGGGGAUAUUGCGCAAUGGGGGAAACCCUGACGCAGCAAACGCCGCGUGAAGGAAGAAAGGCCUUCGGUUGUAAACGUUACUGUUCUUAGG
Molecule: ribosomal RNA, 436 nt
Filed under: uncultured bacterium
Lineage: Bacteria
Description: bacterial SSU rRNA
Rfam family: Bacterial small subunit ribosomal RNA
Source: RNAcentral